UUUUUCUGGAAGGUUCGAUAUAAGAAGUGCAACAAUGUACUGUGAAGCAAGAACAAUGUUUUUCCUAAACAGAUUUGAGUAUACCAACUUAGUAAGACAGUAUGGAGGUAUAUAAACAAGGGAGGGAGAUCAGAAGUUCAUACUUACCAAGGCAUGCAAAUCCAGCUGCAGAUGAAGCCAAUCCAGCAGCAGUAGGAAAGUUGUUAUACGAAACUAUAUGUACACGCAAUUUUUCCCAAUUCUUCUUCUCUAUCUUGAUACCCUUUUCCUCAUCCUCGAUAUCACGAGCACGAGCACGAAUCUCUCGUAAGCAAUUCUGAUACCGGGCUCCAGAGAGGGAAACCUCCUACACUAACCAGAAAACCAAAGGAGUGGGGAUAGAAUCACAAUCUAAUCAAGUCAAAAUCACUGGAGGCACAAGUUAAGAAACAAAAUAUGCUCGACCUUGAUGCAUCGUGCAUCUAAACAUGUUUCCAAGUUUAUUUUACCUUUCCAUUAAGCCACAUCCGAUCCUGAUCAAAGGUGGGACUAACUGCAACAGUAGUGGUAGUGCAGAGAUGAGCCGGAUCCAAAGUGACACUUAUGCUGUCAUUGACUGGUAAAAUCAAGUCUUCAUCCCUCUUUCCCCAGUACUUAAUCACUGCUAUAUUGGUGGGAGUUUGCGCUGUCACCAUCCUCACCCACUUAUCCGCCAUUGAAUUACUGAUGGUUAGUUUGAGAAGAAUAUACAGAAAAAACUCCCAAAAGCUUCCUCUUUCCCAGGCACAAAUAACGAAAGGUACAGAGGAGAGAAGCACAAGCUAGCUCAAUGCAGCUACAACCACCAGUUCCCGAAUUCAGCUUGACUACUGCAACUGAUUCGUGCACGAAUGUUAUUCCAGAGGAAACGAGAUAGUUCAGAAUGCGCGAUACGACUCCGCGCCAGCAUGGAUUAUGUUGGGAUCAAAUGCGCGAAAGAGACGACUCAGCCGAGUGCUGGAUAGAUCAUAGAUGGCGACUGAGAAGGAGAGUGAAAGAAGAGACGGACGAAAUGAAGAGGGACGGUGGGUUUGGUGCCGCGAUUCUAGGUGUUGGUUUGGUUCGAAAGUUUUGGAAUUUGGUUUUUUCAGUUCGGCCCCAAACCAUGAGCCGAAAGGCUGUGUCUUUACAACAGAGUCCGGCCCGACCAACAGGUCCACUGAAAAAGGGCGGGGCUUUGACGCGGGAGAAAUUGAGAAAAGCUGCAGAGCUACAAAGGAGUGUGGAAGGUUGGGAGAGAAAGGGAAUCUGGUCGGUCGUAGAAGAGGAGGAUGGGGUCGGAGGAGGUAACAGCAGCUCUGCCUGAAUGGACAUCCACUCCUUGCAUUAUGGGCAUCGACGAAGCCGGCCGUGGCCCUGUUCUCGGUAAGCUCACUCAUUCACUCUCACUUCUUCUUAGUAGUUAUCAUCCUUUUUUCUUUUUUUGUGUGUUGAUUCCUUCUGAACCCUUUUCCGACUUCUCCUUACAGGCCCCAUGGUGUAUGGAUGCUUGUAUUGUGCUCGCUCCUACCAGGAGACUCUAUUAACCUUGAGUUUUGCAGGUCCUUUAUUUUCCCCCAUCUAGGUUUUAUGAGUUUUGUCCUGCGUAAAUUUGAAAAUUUUUGUCCGGUUCACCCAAUUCCUAAUUUCCAACAUUCAUACGAGAUAUGGAGUUGAUAGUACCUCACAUUUUGCGGAUCUUACUAUGAUCAGCAAUGCUAUGCAGUCAAUUUACAGUUCCACGCUGCUCUAUUAUUAGUAUCUCAGCAAUGCUUGCUGUAGGGUGUUGAGAAGAUAGUAUAUUUCCCUUUGUAAUUUGUGCAGAAUUUUAUUAGACUUGAUUUGGGACUUAUUGAUUCAUCAAUGUCAAUGUAUCUAAGUUGCCCUCAAACCCAUUGUUUUCUUUUCUUUUGAUAUUAGUGUUUAGCGUAGGGCUAGUCAGGAGUAGAAGCUUAAAUUAGAGAUGAAUGUGUUAUUACCUUCAACAUUGACUGAAAUGUUUUGAUCUUUUAUGCCCUGCAACUCCUGUUUCUGUAUUGAAAUUGUUAGUGCUUGAUAAUGAUAUUUAGUUACAUCUCUUGACCAUGUAGUUUAGACUUAAAGACAUGAGGCUACUACUAAUAAUGUUGCCUGUCGACUGGUUCCAGACUCAAAGACCUUAAAGGAAGAGAAGAGGGAGGAAUUGUUUGAAAGUCUGAAGCUUGACGAGUCAAUUGGAUGGGCUGUUGAUGUCAUUGAUCCGAGAGAGCUGUCUGCGAAAAUGCUAAAGAAGUGAGUCGAUUCUGCAAUUAAGUAUUUAUUUGUUUGAUGGUUUCUCUUUUUAAACAAUUUAUCUUAUGUACUUCUUAUACCUCAUGAAACAGGAAUAAGAUCAAUCUGAAUGAGAUAUCUCACGACUCAGCAAGUGGUCUGGUCAAGAGAGUUCUGAACAUGGGAGUUCUUCUAACUGAGGUUAAAACUGUCACUUUCUGUAAUGUGUCUCCUCGUGUGUGUAGAAUUCACAGAUUCUUCAUACGUUGCCCUUGGAGUAUCAGGUCUAUGUUGAUACAGUUGGAGAUCCAGAGAAAUAUAGAGUCAAACUCUCAGAACGAUUUCCAUCCGUCAAAUUUGUAGUCGCAAAGAAGGCUGACAGUCUUUACCCGGUUGUUAGUGGAGCCAGCAUAGUCGCAAAGGUACCAGACACCGACGAGCUCUUUGUCAUAGUAUUGUUUUGAUAUACAUUCGAUAUAUUUGGUGAUAAAAAUAGGUCACUAGAGAUAGAUCCCUGCGAGAAUGGGCGUUUGAUGAAACAGACAAAGACAUCGGCAGGAACUUCGGUUCUGGAUACCCUGGAGGUCUGAAACAUCUAGUCCUCCUUUCAUUUGUUUUCAUGUAUUUUCUCUGUAACUUUAGGUUUUGAAGUUUAUCUUUUUCUUUUCGGCUAAGACCCUGAAACAAAGACAUGGCUGGAGCAACAUAAACAUAAAGUGUUUGGGUUCCCCAAAUUAGUUCGUUUCAGUUGGGGAACAUGUAAUUCCUACUUCAAAGAUGGUGUAGAAGUCUUGUGGUUAGUUCUUCUUCUAUUGCCCUAUGUCCCUAUUCCGAUUUAUGUGCAUUUUGGUGUUUGAUCGCUGCUUAUCAUUCUAACAACCUUGCGUUAUCAGGGAGGCUGACAUCGACGAAGACAGUACUAGCAACAGUAAUGGAAAACGACAGUUGAAGUUAAGCAACUUUGGAGUCACAACCUCCAAGAAGAAGAAGGAAGAAGUUGAAUCGAGCUGUAAAGGGCGUUGCAAGUUCUUCGAGACAAGGAAACUUGAACAACUUGCUGAUUUCUAACGUUGACAUGCUGUUUUGUGGUAAUGCUUUAAUUCUGACAUUCAGAUCUCUGUCUCAUUGUUGAACUAAAUUCAUGAGGUCAACGUCCAUAUUAGACAAUGAUGCAGACAAAUUAUAAGAGAUAAGCUCGCUUUUUUUCCCAGAUAUCUUUACAUAAUUUGCAGCAAGACAGGAUUGUGAUCCUUGUAUCUACAUGAGAAACUUUUAUGUUACAGAAGCAAACCCAACCCAAGUACAAGCAUAUCGCAAAAUUUGAGACAAGCUCUCAACAACACAAUCAACAAGCAGUCUUAUUUCAAGCUUCUCAGUGCAAAGGCUUCCACAUAGAGGCCAAUGUGGCGGCUAUAACCAAGGUGACCACUCCUCUCCAGUAGAUGUUGUUCUUGGCACUGUUGCAGGGGGCAGCACCUCGUCGUUGUUGGUGGUGGUUGUUGUUCGCUGCACCGGCUAUGAUGACAGGUACUGCUGCUCCUCCACCUUGCGUGUUUCUGCCACCACCAUUGCUAUUGUCGGAAUUACCACCCGAUCCUCCACCACCAUGGCCGUGAGUUAAUCUGUUGACACUGUUGAAUUCGUAGAGAUGGUGGUGUUUAGCUGCUCUCGGUUCUUGAUUCUCCAAGGAUUCUGUUAUCAGUGAUAUCUUUGUCAGUUGCAGCCAACAACCUUCAAUUGUUGUCUGUGGUGAUCAAGAAGUUAGCUUUUUAUUUAUUUAUUGUGAUAGUAGAUAUUCAAUCUGAUUCCAAGCUGAUUGUUAGUACAGUAAAAACUAGAACUAGUUGAAGAAGAUGCUAUUCUUUCCGUAGGAUUUAGUUGAGAUAGUCUGCAGGAGAAAGUGCUUCCAGCUUUUGGUCUAGCUAGGAUGAUAAAUAAAUAUUCCUCAUUCCAGUAGUUGAGGUCUGAGGAUAACAACCUCAAUGAAACCAGAUUCCAAAAGCAGGAAGUGGAGAAUCUGAUUCCUUAUCAGUGGUUAAGAAAAUAGCAGCCAUUACUGGGUUUCAAACUUUUCCAGAAAAACUAGGAACAUAUCAAUCAAAUGAUUGAUUGAACAAUUUCAUCUACCAGUGAAGUUAGUGGUAAAGGGUUGGGAGAAGAAAUUAGCAGAGACAUAUAGCUGCUGCUGCUGUAGUUUGCCUAGUAGCUACUAGAGAAGGCCUAUUGAAGGAAGUGGGUGUUGCAAAAGUUGAAAUCUUUAUCCAAAUAUUAAGUCGAGCGAACUUACAACACAGGGUUUGUAAUUGUCGGUGGGAGAGGAGGAAUCGUACCAGAGGAAAGCAGGAUGCUGUGAGUUGCAGAAGAAGUAGGAAAGUGGAAGAUGAAGAAGGAGAUGGUGAAACAUGUGAUGAGGAGGAGCAAUGAUGAACUAGUCAUCUUUCUUCUUAGCUGCUGCUGCUGCUGCUUCUUCUGUCAAGGCUAGUAGUAUUAUAGUGUUGUUAGUGAUGAGGGAGAACAUCAUAGAAUUUUAUAAUUAGUACACUCAGUCUUCUCUCUCCCACUCACUUGUAUUUUUCCAUUAUCUUUAAUAUCUUUGGGUUUUUCUUACAAAAGAAUUAAAGCAUAUUUAGCCUUUUUCUUGUCCAAUUAAUUCUGUAUUCCAGUUGAGAAAACUACCACUUCACUACCAUUCUUCUCUAUUUCUUUGACCAAAAUCUGGCUACAGUUGAGUUCUACCAUUUAUAUAAUUAAAUCAAGUACAUUGUUGAUCAGACGGUCAGUAAGUGAUGGGGCAAAUCCGUCAAAGAAAAAAAUUCCAAUAUAAAAUAAGACAAAAAUAUCAUUAUAAGAGUUAAAAAAAUAAAAAAAAAUACAAUUAUUAUAUUUUCAAAGAAAAUGUUUUUUAAUUUUAUUUGAUUAUUAUUUAAAUGGGUUAAUAUAAAUUAAUUAAUAUUAAAAUUUAUAUAUUAGAAAUAAUAAAAAAUUUAUAUUUUAUUAUGAUAUUUUUUAUAAAUAAUAAUUAAAUAUAUUAAAAUUUAUAUUUUGAAAUAUUACGUUAAUGUUGAAAUUUUCAAAUUGAUUUAAUUUAACCUCGGAGAAAGACUCGAUCAAAAAUGGUGGCGGGGAAGAUAUAGAUUAGAGAGGCCUGGCAUUUUCUACGUAGAUUGGAUUGUUGUUUUCCCAGUUUGGAAGAUACGUUAAACUCCAUUAACAACAUAUGCAUGACGACCAUGACAUGGCCAUAACACAACGUGGCAACUGGAAACAUAACAAGGGCCACGUCCACUGGCGGCCGCCAUUGAUGUGCUGAUUCAUAUAUCCAAAUCCAAGUUUCUUUUCUCUGUGUAUAUAACAAGUUACGUUUAUUUGCUUAGGAUCCAAAUCAUAUCCAGUACCUAGAAAUUAACAAUGGACUUGUUACUGAUCAUGCUCACCUGUUCACUCUGCCUCCUGAUCACCACCUUGGCCGUCCUCUUUCGUUUCCCGGCGUCCAACAAAAAUCCGGCUGUGAAACUACCGCCGGGCCCAUCACGUCUUCCAAUCAUAGGCAACCUCCUUAACUUGCUUGCCGGCGGCAAGUUACCCCACCAAUCCCUAGCCAACCUUGCCAAAAUUCAUGGUCCUUUAAUGAGCCUGAAGCUCGGCCACGUCACCACGAUCGUCGCUUCCUCUCCGGCGGUAGCCAAAGAGAUGCUCCAAAACAACGACCAACUUCUCUCCGACCGCUACCUCAAUCGAGCCAUGUGCACUUUCAGUCACCACAAAUUCGGCAUGUCGUUGCUCCCCGUGGGAUCAUCCGAGUGGAGGAGCCUCCGGAAAGUCUGCAGCACGUAUCUUUUCGCUAACCAAAAGCUGGAUUCCGACCAGGACACUCGGAGGAAGAAGAUGGAUGAGCUCCUUAAAAGUGUUCGACGAAAUGCCUCAGAAGGGAAAGCCGUGCAUAUUGGGGAAGCGGCGUUUAGAACAAGUGUUGGCACCCUGUCGACGACGGUUCUUUCGUUGGAUUUGACGGACGAGGAUGUUGUGGACUUCAAGGAGGCUAGGGGUAUAAUGGAUGAAGCAGGGAAGCCGAAUUUCGGAGACUAUUUCCCGGUUCUGGGUGCGAUGGAUUUGCAGGGGAUAGAGAGGCGGAUCGUGAGUCAUUCCAGGAAGUCGUUGGAUUUGUUCGGAAAGAUAAUCGACGAACGACUGAAGAAGCGGAAAUCUGAGGCAUAUGUCUCGGCUAAUGACAUGCUCGAUACCCUUCUGGACAUUGGUGGUGAUCAAGAGGCUUCCAUUGAUCUAAAUCUCAUCAAACACUUGUUCUUGGUAAGCGUUUUAACCCCUAAGGAUCAAAACGGACAGCCUUAGUAAAAAUAAAUUUCCUUUAUAAACAAAAUAGAAUGCGUUAGUAAAAACAAACUGCUCAAAUUACAAAUAAAUUAUUUAAUAAAAACGAACUAAGCAAAGUAAAUACUCAGUAAACGCAAUUAAUUCUUUCUUGUUUUUGGCUCAUUGAUAUUGAUUUGAGUUUAUCCGGGUGAUCAGGAUCUAUUCGUCGGUGGAAUCGAUACAAUGACGAGCACAUUAGAAUGGGCGAUGGCAGAAAUGAUCCGCAACCCCCUUGUAUACGCUAAAGCAAAAGAUGAAAUAGAUCGAACCAUAGGGAAGGAAAAUCGUCUACUAGAAUCUGACAUCCUUCAGCUACCUUAUUUGCAAGCCAUACUUAAAGAGACUUUCAGGUUACACCCGGCUUCUCCUCUACUGAUUCCACGAAGGGCAAGAGCCGACUUGGAAAUCUGCGGGUUCACCGUGCCUAAAGGAGCACAAAUUCUAGUCAAUUUAUGGGCCAUUGGUAGAGAUCCGGACAUAUGGAACGAUCCAACUUCAUUCAUGCCAGAGAGGUUCAUGGGAUCGGAGAUUGAUUUUCGCGGAAGUAGUUUCGAACUGAUCCCUUUCGGGGGUGGACGAAGAAUUUGCCCUGGGUUGCCGUGGGCAAUGAGGAUGUUGCCAUUGAUGUUGGGAUCCUUAGUUCACGAAUUCGAUUGGAUGUUGGAGGAUGGAGUUGAGCCAGAAAGUUUAGAUAUGGAAGAGAAAUUUGGAAUCACUUUGGAGAAAGCCAAACCUUUGUUUGUUGUUCCCAUACUUAGAUAAUUUGAGGUGAUGAUACCUUAAUACAUGGUUUGGUUGUCUUUCGAUUCAGCACUCUUUUGUUAUGUAACUAUACAAUGUACUUAAAUUUCUAGCCUCGUUUGUGUAUAUGAUUUUAUUGGUAUUCGAUUAUAAUCGUACAUGUAAAUGGGUCAAUAUUCGAGUAUUUCAUAGUUAAAAAACCCAAAAACACAAAGUGAAAAUAGUAGCAGUUGAGGAAGAGAACACAACUUUUUUAACGUGAUUUAGUUCACAUCAUGAGAUAUCACUUGAGGGACGAUCCAAACCAUUUCGAAUUUUUUCCCGCCGUUAUCAAUUUCAUGGCGAGGUGGAACAAGAAAAGGUCCAGACCUUUUCGACAAGUGAGGAAGAAGAAGAAGCCGCCAUGAGAAAAUGGAAAAUGGAAUCCGACACCGUUUCUUUUUUUUUUCUGAUGAAUAUUUGGAUUUUAAUCAAACGAAUAAAUUAAACGUGACAUGCAUGUUAUAAUUUCGUUUGGUCUAGGCAAAGUUCGUUCAUUUCAUCGUAAAAUUUCCGUCCAUCAUCUUAACAGAACCGUACUCAGUGUGAUCGAAACUUGACAUGAGUUGCACCAAAUGCAAUAAACUUAGUUUUAUGGUCAGUCGUAAAUUUUUAAUAGUUGAGCGGUAUAUGACGUAAUUAAAUCGGUAAUAUUAGAGAUAACUGAACAAAAUUACAUUUCAGACUUAACCUACCAACAAGCAAAACAAACAGAAAAACGAACGUGAUUGGUAUGGGUUCAUAUGAUACAAAGUAAGCCUAUCUGUGUUGCCUUCAUGCAGGCUAGCUAUUGAUCUAUUCACUAGUUUGCUUUUGCUUUGGAGCGAAAUUGUAGAGCGCGAGACCCAACACGAGAGUCGCGCUCCCAAACAUAAAAUAGGGGCUCAGGGUCGAACUCUCAUCAAGAUACGGUAAUGGAAGCGAUAGAACGUAAAUCGACAACGGCACUGCAAGCAACAUAUUGCAACAUAUCAGUUGGCAAAACAACAAACAGGAAGAACACAAAUAAACAGCAGAGAUAGAGAUACGAAAACCGACCUGCUAAUGUGGUGGCAAGAGAGGAUACAACCGCAGAUGAAACCUUCAUUAGCUUUAGCAUCGAUAUAUUGAACGUCAAGUUAGCAGCUAUGUACAGCAUUGGCAGCAGUGGAGCACCCGUCGAUUCUACAGUGUGAUUCCAGAAACAAUCAGAUAGAGACAAGACGUCUAUAUAUAGCUUUUACUGCAAAUUAUAUUGACAAAACGAAACCGGAAACGCGAGAACUUGCCUGGCGAGUCGGACCAGAGAUUCAGGAAACUACCAGUCCCAUUUUUCAAGUACAGUGGAAGCUGAGCAAGUGGAAUGCCCUUGAAGUUCGACAUGAGGGGAAGAAACAUCAGCACAAAAAGAGCCUGCAAGUUGAACACAGGUUAUCGAAUCAAACCGGUUAAUUAUAGUAGUUGAUGUGACGCCAUAGAAUGUGAAGCCACAAACCAGAGCGUGUUCAUUUCAACUACUGCUCUAGAAAAAAGACGAUAGCUUUUGAUGGUUUCUUGCGGAAUAAGGUUUGUGUUUGUACUCAUAUAUUGUGAAACUUAAUGCUUUAUACUUGAGUAGGUUUACCUGAAAUCCAGAACCUAAUGUAUUGACAACAAAUAUGUCAAGCGAUUUCCCCUGCAUAUCAAAAUGUAAGCACUGUCUUUGUUAGGCAUCCGACUCGUGCCAACUGAUAAAUAACAAAGGUCAGCUGAAGGUAUACCUUCAAUUUUUUGGCAGCAUCAAGAAACACGAAUUCCUGGUACACAAAAAACAAACAAGGCAAAGCUAAAUUGUUCAAUUUGCUGAUACAGAGGUGAAUUACUUCAACUAAACGAGCCCAUUUCCGAGGAGUAAACCUUUAGUAUCAUAGCACCGGAAUGAAGAGCACUGGAUAAUAUCAUGACAGCUGCCCACAUGUACUCGUCACCAGAUAGCAUCUGCUCAUCACUGGAUCCACUGUGAUCAUAGAUGAUAUGGAACAGAAAUGUUAUAUAACCAGGAAGCAGGCAGGGUUGUGUUUUAAGCAGCAAGAAGUGAAUCAAACGUUCUUAAUGGAAAUACCUUGUCACAGCCAUGACUACACCAAUAGCUACAAGCAAGCAGCCAGCCAUUUGAGCAUACGAGUACCUUCGGCCGAGGAAAAUGCUGGAAAAAGCGAGUUGCCAAAUCAAGAAUGUCUGCAACAACAACGGGCAAGCAUUUGAAGAAGCAGUGGAGAGUGAUAUUAUAGAGAAACAAGAAAGAAUCCAGAGGCUGGAGAAGGGUAUACCUGAUGCAGUAUAGGUAUAGAAGGUCCAGGUAGAUUGGCUGGUGGAAUUGACAUGAAAUUUGAAAUUUACUAUUAAUAAAACACAAUUUUGAAUAUUCAGUAGAAGAAGAGGAUUGAUGGUAAGUUUACCAGCAGCGUACAUUCCAAUUAGGGUUCCAACGGCUUCAAAAGCACCAAUGGCAGCAUACCGAGAUUUAGGAAGCGCCAACAUCUCAUCACUCACAAUCCCUGCACGGUACCUCAUAUGCAAUAUCGACGAGUAAAUCACCACGUACCUGUGUGAUCCGAUCAUCAAUUUCUUCUUCAUCAUCACAUUACCAAAAUGUCAAUUAAUUCAUAAAAAAUCUCUUCACCCGAAGGUAGUGAACUGAGCUAGGAAGAAGGGGUAAUCCUUCAUCGGAACAAGGGCGAGCUUGUACAGCACUCGAUUCGCCACCGCCAGAGCUAUCGUCGCCGCCGAGCUCGCCACCACCAGCUGGGUACUGCUGCUGCUACUGUCGCCUGACCUCUGCUCCGCCCGAGCCGAGACAUCACGUGGUGGAGAUCCGAGCAGAAUGUGAUCCCGGCGGCGAAGAAGAGACGGGGACGUCAGAUUGGAGCUCCCGCCGGUCGGGGGAAGAAGCGGGGGGGGGGGGGGAGAGUGGGGGUUGCUGCUGCUGCUUGCUGUGGGUGGGAAAAGAAGCAAAUUAAGUAGAGAAGACUGAAGAGUUAGCUUCUGUAAUGGAGAAAGGUUGGCAAUGCGUGAAAAUGAAAUGGAGGUAGCUUGCUUGCUAGCUUGGUAUUCGUUAAAAUUAAUGAAGAUUGGAAGCCACGACAAGUUGGGAAGAGGGAAGCAGAGGCGUGGAAGUUAAAGAAUGAAGACCUUCAGUAAAGGACAAACAGACUAACAGAGAGAACCGGCAUUCUGCAUAGGAAUGAAGUCCAUAAAGUUGAAAGGUUUCAAAGAACAUUCUGCAUAGGAAUUACAGUAGUUGCUCCUCGCCUCAAUGCUCUCAGGAAAAAGUUGAAGCUUCACAGAUCAUCUUGAACGUCUGUACAAGAACAAAUAAAAGGGUUUGCUGCUUUCACUGCUGAAGAGAUGUUAUGCCUGAACUGUAGAGCACAGGGAUAACUCGAGCGGGCUGUGGUUUUCCAUACCUGUUCAAUGUUUUCAGCUAGGGUGUAGGUAGAAUGUAUGGAUCUGUUGUAGGCAGGAACAGCGAGGUUGGUCAGAUUAUGAGCAACAAUUGGAAUGUAUUUGGCUACCCUAAUAGUUGGCAAUAGUUCCGGUUUCGUAUGUCAUUUUGAUUCAUUUCCAGAAGAGUAAAUAAAAUAAGUACUGGACAAGUCUUGAGAUCAUAUGAGACAGUACUCAUUCUGGAAGUCUACCAAAUUGAGGCGAUUAUUAUGUGCUUACAAUUCUUCAGAAGAGAAAUUUGCUUCCACUACCACUGGUACAACAAGUGCAAACAGCAAACCAUACAAGUUUUCAACAAACUGCAUCGCGAAGGGAACUUUGUGCUACUCCCAAGAUAAGACGAUCAGUUCAAGCAGUAUUUGGGCAACAGUCUAA
RNAcentral lists this long non-coding RNA (11238 nucleotides) under Linum usitatissimum (flax). RNAcentral describes it as "long non-coding RNA (LUSI_LNC006881)". Lineage: Eukaryota; Viridiplantae; Streptophyta; Magnoliopsida; Malpighiales; Linaceae. The record is from RNAcentral.